CACCGCGGGUUAUUGUCUUAGUAGCGGCGAGUGAAGCGGCAAAAGCUCAAAUUUGAAAUCUGGCGCCUUCGGUGUCCGAGUUGUAAUUUGAAGAUUGUAACCUUGGGGUUGGCUCUUGUCUAUGUUUCUUGGAACAGGACGUCACAGAGGGUGAGAAUCCCGUGCGAUGAGAUGCCCAAUUCUAUGUAAGGUGCUUUCGAAGAGUCGAGUUGUUUGGGAAUGCAGCUCUAAGUGGGUGGUAAAUUCCAUCUAAAGCUAAAUAUUGGCGAGAGACCGAUAGCGAACAAGUACAGUGAUGGAAAGAUGAAAAGAACUUUGAAAAGAGAGUGAAAAAGUACGUGAAAUUGUUGAAAGGGAAGGGUUUGAGAUCAGACUCGAUAUUUUGUGAGCCUUGCCUUCGUGGCGGGGUGACCCGCAGCUUAUCGGGCCAGCAUCGGUUUGGGCGGUAGGAUAAUGGCGUAGGAAUGUGACUUUACUUCGGUGAAGUGUUAUAGCCUGCGUUGAUGCUGCCUGCCUAGACCGAGGACUGCGAUUUUAUCAAGGAUGCUGGCAUAAUGAUCCCAAACCGCCCGUCUUGAACCACGGAC
Molecule: ribosomal RNA, 587 nt
Filed under: Meyerozyma guilliermondii
Lineage: Eukaryota; Fungi; Ascomycota; Pichiomycetes; Serinales; Debaryomycetaceae
Description: eukaryotic LSU rRNA
Rfam family: Eukaryotic large subunit ribosomal RNA
Source: RNAcentral